This 497-nucleotide ribosomal RNA is filed under the name uncultured bacterium. RNAcentral's name for it is "partial 16S ribosomal RNA". It matches the Rfam family "Bacterial small subunit ribosomal RNA", at positions 28 to 507 of the family's 1533-position model. The record is from RNAcentral.
GAUGAACGCUGGCGGCGUGCCUAAUACAUGCAAGUCGAGCGAACGGACGAGAAGCUUGCUUCUCUGAUGAUAGCGGCGGACGGGUGAGUAACACGUGGAUAACCUACCUAUAAGACUGGGAUAACUUCGGGAAACCGGAGCUAAUACCGGAUAAUAUUUUGAACCGCAUGGUUCAAAAGUGAAAGACGGUCUUGCUGUCACUUAUAGAUGGAUCCGCGCUGCAUUAGCUAGUUGGUAAGGUAACGGCUUACCAAGGCGACGAUGCAUAGCCGACCUGAGAGGGUGAUCGGCCACACUGGAACUGAGACACGGUCCAGACUCCUACGGGAGGCAGCAGUAGGGAAUCUUCCGCAAUGGGCGAAAGCCUGACGGAGCAACGCCGCGUGAGUGAUGAAGGUCUUCGGAUCGUAAAACUCUGUUAUUAGGGAAGAACAUAUGUGUAAGUAACUGUGCACAUCUUGACGGUACCUAAUCAGAAAGCCACGGCUAACUACGUG